RNAcentral lists this ribosomal RNA (250 nucleotides) under uncultured bacterium. Its description in RNAcentral is "partial 16S ribosomal RNA". It matches the Rfam family "Bacterial small subunit ribosomal RNA", at positions 524 to 768 of the family's 1533-position model. The record is from RNAcentral.
UACGUAGGGUGCAAGCGUUGUCCGGAAUUAUUGGGCGUAAAGAGCUCGUAGGCGGUCUGUCGCGUCUGCUGUGAAAACUCAGGGCUUAACCCUGAGCUUGCAGUGGGUACGGGCAGACUAGAGUGCGGUAGGGGAGACUGGAAUUCCUGGUGUAGCGGUGAAAUGCGCAGAUAUCAGGGAGGGAACACCGGUGGGCGAAGGCGGGUCUCUGGGCCGUAACUGACGCUGGAGGAGCGGAAAGCAUGGGGAG